GACAGAGGGUGCAAACGUUGCUCGGAAUUACUGGGCGUAAAGCGCGUGUAGGCGGACCGAUAAGUCGGGUGUGAAAUCCCUGGGCUCAACCCAGGAACUGCAUCCGAAACUGUCGGUCUGGAGUGGUGGAGAGGGAAGCGGAAUUCCCGGUGUAGAGGUGAAAUUCGUAGAUAUCGGGAGGAACACCAGUGGCGAAGGCGGCUUCCUGGACACCGACUGACGCUGAGACGCGAAAGCGUGGGGAGCAAACAGG
This 253-nucleotide ribosomal RNA is filed under the name uncultured bacterium. RNAcentral describes it as "partial 16S ribosomal RNA". It matches the Rfam family "Bacterial small subunit ribosomal RNA", at positions 524 to 776 of the family's 1533-position model. The record is from RNAcentral.